RNAcentral lists this ribosomal RNA (885 nucleotides) under Triticum aestivum (bread wheat). Its description in RNAcentral is "partial small subunit ribosomal RNA". Lineage: Eukaryota; Viridiplantae; Streptophyta; Magnoliopsida; Poales; Poaceae. The record is from RNAcentral.
AUGCAUGCUACUGUUCCUUGUCACGCCUCGGCUACCUGGCGAGCGAUCAUUGCCGGGAGGGCGGCACUGGAUACUGGCCUACUAAAACGGAUUGGCGAUGGCUCAUCCACGCGCGUGUGGCAGGAUGGAUGGCUACCAGGCAAGCUUUCGUUGCGGCCCACUGCACAGAUCGGUACAUCACCUAUCAAUCUUGUUUCAGACCUGAUCGAUGAUGUGACUUGGUCUUGGAAAGCUGGCCUUGUUCGAGAAAAUUUUAUACCACCGGAUGCUGAUACUAUUUUGAAUAUUCCACUCAGACAAGGAGGUGGUGAUGAUUACUGGGCUUGGGAUCAUGAGAGAUCGGGUUCCUAUACUGUGAAGUCAGCGUAUCAUGCUCUAAUGACUCAUAACGAGCAUUCAGUUCUAGAGGAAGGGGCGGCUGCAGAAUCUUCAGAGAAUAAUAAGCAGUUAUGGACUCGUCUUUGGAAGCUCAAAGUGCUACCUAAGGUGCGUGUGUUCUGGUGGAGGGUCCUCCGUGGCAUUCUUCCAGUGGAGAGCACACUACAGUACAGGCAUAUUGCAACCUUAGCACGAUGCAAGGUGUGCAUGGGAGCUGAUGAAGAUUUGAUGCAUGCUUUGAUCAAGUGUUCACAUGCUCAAACUUUCUGGACAGAAGCUCGAAAAUGGCUGCAGGUCAAGCUACCGGAGUUACACCCUAUGACUUGGUGUAGGGAUAUUCUUUGCGACUCUCGGUUUUCAGAGAGUGAUCGGGCAAAAAUUGUUACUGUCAUGUGGGCUAUUUGGACCUCUCGCAAUAAUAUAACGCAUGACAGAGCAAGUAUGAACCCGGCGCAAUCUCUCAAACGUAUAAGAGAAAAUCUUGCCUUGCUGGAGCUUCCCUUGUAA